UACAUGUCAGAUACAUUUAAUAAGCAUUUUUGAGCAUCUAAUCUAUGUCAGGUCCUGUGCCACACAUGGGAAGUAAAAAUUUUUGUCCACAGGGAGGUGCAAACUUUGUCCCCAUCAUCACAGUGCUUAUUCUUUGGUGGGGCAAUCAGGUAUGUAGCUCCAUGGUUCCAGCCCAGUGUGACAGAACAAUAGCCUGGGGCAGGGGGUGAAAUUUAGAAGGUCUCAGAUCCUGUAACAACUGCAGGGACACAUAGGGGAAGCCCCUGAACUAAGCAGACACAAGUGAGAUACAAUGGGCUUCAUGGGUGGAGACAGACAGAGAGGUGGUCCCCACCAGGCUGUGCCUUCUGUAACCAGCCAGGGAAAUGGCACUGCCUAGUGAAGGCCCCUGAACCUGGAGACUUCUCUUGACACCAUUUCUGGAAAGCUUCUAAUGAGAAGUCAAGCUCCUCAUUAACAGAUUAGUUCUGUGCCUUCAGAGCAGGUUGGUGAGUGUACUCCCCAGGGCUUCUCAUCUGCCAAUUCCUAGUCAGCAGGUACCACCUGGACUGGACCCAGUCUGAGGGAAAGGCAGGCCAUGGGGAGGCUCAAGUGACUUGUAUUUGAAAUGUCAUCACCUCAUGCUCACAUAUGUUCCUUAGGAGCACAAUAGCCAAAACUCAUCAAGGGCUCUGCUGUUGAAAUGAAGAUAGACCCAGAGGCACCAAGGCUUCUGAUGAUACUGGUCUUACAGCACUUUAGAAAUGUAAACCCAACCAUCAGUUGCCUGAGAUGUGACCACUUCUCACUGUUGGUGUCUGGGGAACAGGAAGAUGGCAGAAAGUAGGAUUCAGAAACCUUGCCUGAGCCUGAUGCUCCACAUGAGUUGUUGCAUCAGUUUCUCUCCGCCUCUUGCAGAGGACAUGCUCAAUGAGCUAAAGCAGAGUAGCAGACAAACAAGUGACAACAGGCAUUGUGGAGAGGCCAUGGAGUGUCCUGGGAACCAAUGUGAAGUAUGAGUUGCACUGGAGAAGCCCACACGGAAAGCCUCAGGAACCAAAGGCAGCUGAGCUUGGCAUAUGGCGUCGCCACCUCCAUAAGGGGCUUUUGUGAAGAAUUAAUCAAAAGAUUAUACUGGACAAAAGCCGAUAGCUGCUGGGAAGAAGGAGGACUCUUGGACUUCUUUCUAAUUGAGCAGUAGGGUCUCUGCUUCCUCCCACUAGAAAUUCAACUGGUCUCCAAAGAAAGAACAAGUCACCCAUUGCUAACCAAGACAGAAGAGAAUGCAGCUCUUGCUGCAUUUCCUGAAUUUGAAGAUAACUUUGCUGUCAAGGCCAUGAAGGUGCCAUGGAGGCGUCACUUCCAAUGCUGAGAAUUUCAGCUCCUCUGGAACUAAGCCCAGGUGGCAGACGGGGUAGUGAGAACUCACACCCCCUUGUUUUCUGCACCCCCAGAAACUUUCAACAGACAUUCCAGCUCAUCUCAGAUAACUGAUCUCACCAAGUGCCUCCACCAUCCUCUGAGAAGAAGCAUCAGACAUGACAGCUGCCUUUAUCUCCGGAUGCCAGGCCGUCUUGUAGUUCCAAAGCAGUGAUCAUCACCAAGCCAUACCCCUGGGUGGGACAUGAGUGGAGAAUGGAAACAGCAGAGUGUACAGACAUCUGUGGUAUGCAGGCCAAUGUGGGUGUCUGAAAGCACUUGGGGAUGAGACAAGGGCUUGGAGGCUGAACUGAGGCUGGGCUUCAAGCAAUAUGGCAGCACCCAGGGCCUGGUGGAAAAGAAAGCUGCAGCAGAAUGAUUUCUGAUCCAGCACAAUGCCAUUACAAAUGUCCCAAGAACCAGAGACCUGGAUGUUAAGCUAGCAAAGAGCUGUUUCAGCCAAAAGAAAGAAUGGCCACCCUGAUUUUUACAAGUGAAUGAAGUGUGAAAAGACACUAACCCCUAUUCAAACUCUCCAUGAAACCAACUGAUAAUAAUGAAAAAAUACAGAGGUGGACUUAAGGUUCAGCAGUACAUUUCUCCCAAGGAACGCUGAAUGAUCCCAGGGUCCACUAUAGUAAUGAAGGUUCUCAAAAGUUGGAAUGAAGCCAUGUGGAAAGAGAACUCUGUUGUCAUAUGGCACAGACCAAAGCUAAAAGUGAUGCUCUGGCAGCAGUCAGGACCAUAUUCACAUUG
Molecule: long non-coding RNA, 2154 nt
Organism: Panthera uncia (snow leopard)
Lineage: Eukaryota; Metazoa; Chordata; Mammalia; Carnivora; Felidae
Exons: 6
Source: RefSeq, a predicted model, not a curated record